GAUGAACGCUGGCGGCAUGCCUAACACAUGCAAGUCGAUCGGUAAGGCUCUUCGGAGUACACGAGAGGCGGACGGCUGAGUAACGCGUAGGAACACACCCUGCAGUGAGGGAUAAGACACCGAAAGGUGUUCUAAUACCGCAUACGGUCUUCGGAUUAAAGCAUUUAUGCGCUGAAGGAGUGGCCUGCGUCAUCUUAGAUAGUUGGUGAGGUAAUGGCUCACCAAGUCGAUGAUGUGUAGCUGGUCUGAGAGGAUGAUCAGCCAGACUGGAACUGAGACACGGUCCAGACUCCUAUGGGAGGCAGCAGUGAGGAAUAUUUCACAAUGAGCGAAAGCUUGAUGGAGCAAUGCCGCGUGCAGGAUGAAGGCCCUCGGGUUGUAAACUGCUUUUAUAAGAGAAGAUUAUGACGGUAACUUAUGAAUAAGGGACGGCUAACUACGUG
Molecule: ribosomal RNA, 443 nt
Filed under: uncultured bacterium
Lineage: Bacteria
Description: partial 16S ribosomal RNA
Rfam family: Bacterial small subunit ribosomal RNA
Source: RNAcentral